Molecule: long non-coding RNA, 1398 nt
Organism: Cyprinus carpio (common carp)
Lineage: Eukaryota; Metazoa; Chordata; Actinopteri; Cypriniformes; Cyprinidae
Source: Ensembl
AUGGGUUUUCACUCUAAUAUCUUGAUAUUUUCGGGUUUGCGUGACUGUGCGCUGCGCUCGUUAUUAAUAAUAAUAAUAAUAAUAAUAACAGUAAUACUGAAAGGAUGUGAAGUGUUUAUACUGACGGAGCCCAUCUCAGGGCCUGGCCAGUCGGAGCUGCGCAUGCGCACCGGAGCAGCGCUAAUGGCGGAGAGCGUGCGGUCGCCGUUCGAUUACCGGGAGCCCCCGACCCUCGACAGCGACGGGGAUGGAGGAAAGCCGCCGCGCGGGCGAGUGUGUGGCAGGAAGAGGAAGGGGACGCCGGUGAAGGUGUGUGAAAGAGCGGCGUAUGUGACGGAGGACGAGGAGGAGAGUCUGUCUGAACACAGUUACAGCCCAGGGGAUGAUCAGUACACCGAGGGAGCCGGAGACAGUGUUCCUCCGCCGGGCGGCCCGUACUACCUCACCGACCCGUCACAGCUCUGUGUGCCUGAGCUGGCUGAAGAGGGCGCUAGCGGCGUCCGCGGCCCUGUGCUGUUCCACCCCCCGCCCAACUGCAGGAUUAGAGAGGUGCAUUCUGGGAGUCAGGUCCGGCUCGUCGUCAUAGCCAUUCGAGACAUUGCCAAAGGCGAGGAGAUCACCGUGGACUACAGCCUGAGCGACUGGGGAGAGAAUGCCAUGGAGGAGGAGCCGGGGUCACUGCCUCUGUCUCUCACUGUUUCUGACUACCUCACUCCGUCCUGGUCUCUGUCUCCCUCCUCCUCUCCGCUGUCUCACUCCGAGGCCAGCGACUCCGACCGAGAGGAGGAGGAGGAGGAGGAAGACGACGAUGACGACGACGACGAGGAGGACCUGGAGGAUCUGCGGGGACGCAUGAUGAGACGCCGCAAGAAACGCAAAACCUCGGCGACCAUCAAGAAGAAAGCCCAGCCCCGCCCCCUGUCCUUCACAUGCCCCGCCCCUUCCUCACCGCCGUCCUUCCAGCAGCCUCUAGCCCCGCCCACCACCAACAUAAACAACAAUAUAAACAUAAACAUCGGCGCGAGCGGCACGCUCUCCCGCAGACAGCACUGUCCCUACUGCGGCCGUCACUUCCGCUCCCUCGCUAGGCACCUGGAGAAACACCACGAGCAGCACCCCGAGGUCCGAGCCGCCAUGGAGCUGUCGCACCCCCCCGCCUCCUCGCACCCCUUCACCUCUCCCGCUCAGCCCUCGUCCUCCCUGGGAACCUCCCUGUUUUCCCGAGAGCGAGACUCUUCGUCUUCAGCUCCGAAAUCCGGAGGCGUCUCCUUCUCGCUCUCGCUGUCUCCGCCUCCUGCCUCCAGUACCUCAAAAAAGAGCUCAACAACAUCGCCGAAGAAGCCCACGGCUAACAAGAGCCCCUGGUUGUGCUCCUGCAACUUUCGGCACUCAUAUUAA